AUUGAACGCUGGCGGCAGGCCUAACACAUGCAAGUCGAGCGAGAGACGGGCGGGUGAUUACUAUAUAGGGACUGCCCGCUAGAGGGGGAUAACUCAUGGAAACGGUAACUCAUACCGCAUCCUAGCGGCUAACGCCUAUGGGAUUAGCUAGUAGGUGAGGUAAUGGCUCCCCUAGGCGACGAUCCCUAGCUGGUCUGAGAGGAUGAUCAGCCACACUGGGACUGAGACACGGCCCAGACUCCUACGGAGGCAGCAGUGGGGAAUAUUGCACAAUGGGAGCAAGCCUGAUGCAGCCAUGCCGCGUGUAUGAAGAAGGCCCUCGGGUUGUAAAGUACUUUCAGUCGGGAGGCGUUACCGACAGAAGAAGCACCGGCUAACUCCGUGCCAGCAGCCGCGGUAAUAC
Molecule: ribosomal RNA, 403 nt
Filed under: uncultured bacterium
Lineage: Bacteria
Description: partial 16S ribosomal RNA
Rfam family: Bacterial small subunit ribosomal RNA
Source: RNAcentral